AGAGUUUGAUCCUGGCUCAGAAUGAACGUUGGCGGCGUGGAUUAGGCAUGCAAGUCGCGCGCACCGCAAGGUGAGCGGCGCAAGGGUGAGUAAGGCGACGGUAACCAACCCCACGGUUGGGCAUUAGCCGCGGGAAACCGCGGGUAAUUCCCAGCGAAGUUGCGAGGAGGCAUCUCCUGGCAACCAAAAGUUCCGGCGCCGUGGGACGGGCCGUCGUGGUAUUAGCUAGUUGGCGGGGUGACGGCCCACCAAGGCUGCGAUGCCUACCGGGCGUGCGAGCGUGGCCCGGCACACUGGGACUGAGACACUGCCCAGACUCCUACGGGAGGCUGCAGUCGAGAAUCUUCGGCAAUGGGCGCAAGCCUGACCGAGCGACGCCGCGUGGAGGACGAAGGCCUUCGGGUUGUAAACUCCUGUCGAGGGGGAGGAAGGGGCAAC
Molecule: ribosomal RNA, 438 nt
Filed under: uncultured bacterium
Lineage: Bacteria
Description: bacterial SSU rRNA
Rfam family: Bacterial small subunit ribosomal RNA
Source: RNAcentral